This 71-nucleotide transfer RNA is filed under the name Marmota monax (woodchuck). RNAcentral's name for it is "tRNA.Ala". The record is from RNAcentral. Lineage: Eukaryota; Metazoa; Chordata; Mammalia; Rodentia; Sciuridae.
GGGGUUGUGGCUCAGCGGUAAAGUACUCACCUAGCAUGUGUGAGGCCCUGGAUUCGUUCCCCAGCACCACA